AUUUCCAGGAGGGAAGCGGAUGGAGGUCGAUGAUGCAUCUCAUUCGGAUGAAAAAUGACUCAAGUUGGUCUUCCACUCGACUCGAGGUACAAACUAGCACAAGUCGUUACAUCGACACAAGCACGGGUGGAGUACUACAUGUUGGUUUUUCAUUGUGGCAAUCGAGGAGUGAAGCUUACACCCCUUGGGGCGGGCCACUGUGCACCUGCACACUCAUGGUGUUGGUUUGUGGGUUUUCCAUUCAACCCAUCUUGAAACAAAAACCAAGGAUUCUAACAUGUGUGUGAUUCGGUGGGUUUGUAAACCUGCAAGGUGUAAGGAAGAUGACAGGUGAUGUCCCCUCUCCAUGGGGUGCAUUGUCGAUUGAUCUUGAGCUUCUGCGAAGGGUUCAAGGGUGAGUAUGCCUAUUGGGACCUGAAAGAUGGUGAAUUAUGCCUGAGCAGGGAGAAGCCAAAGGAAACUCUAGUGGAGGCCCAUAGCGAUACUGAUGUGCAAAUCAUUCAUCUAACUUGGGUAUAUGGGUGAAAGACUAAUCAAACCAUCUAGUAGCUAGUUUCCUCGAAAGUUUCCUUCGAGAUAGAUGGAGCUCAUGUCUGAGUUUUAUCGAGUAAAGCAAAUGAUUAGAGGCAUUGGGGGUGUAACUCCCUUGAACUAUUCUUAAUAUUUAAAUAGGUAAGAUGGUGUAGAUGCUCCAUUGAGAUGUGCCAUGGAAUUGAGAGCUCCAAGUGGGCCAUUUUUUCGUAAGAAGAACUGACGAUGCGGGAUGAACUAAAAGUCAAGUUACGGUGUCAAAAUAUGCACUAACCCAGAUCCCACAAAGGGUGUUGGUUGAUUAAGUCAACAAGACGGUAGUCAUGGAAGUCAAAAUCCGCUAAGGAGUCUGUAACAACUCACCUGCCAAAUCAACUAGCCUCGAAAAUGGAUGGCGUUGAAGCGUGCGACCUAUACUUGACCAUCGAAGAAAUUUCUAGGCUUCGAUGAGUAGGAGGACGUGGUGGUUGUUGAGAAACCUUGGGUGUGAGCCUGGGUGGACCGGUCCUCGGUGCAGAUCUUGGUGGUAGUAACAAAUAUUCAAAUGAUAACCUUGAAGACUAAAGUGGGGAAAGGUUCCAUGUGAACAACACUUGGACAUGGNNNNNAAGUGGGGAAAGGUUCCAUGUGAACAACACUUGGACAUGGGUUAGUCAAUACUAAGAGAUGGGGAAGCCCUGUAUCAAGGGUGCACUCUACAUGAACAUCAAAAAGGAAUUGGGAUAAUAUUCCCAAACCAGGACAUGGUGGUGGACGAAAACGUUACUAAAUAUGGAGACAUCGUCGGGGCUCCUAGAAAGAGUUGUCUUUUCUUUUUAAUAGCUUUCCCACCCUGAAAUUGAAUCAACCAGAGAUAGGGUCUAGCAGCUGGAAGAGCAUCACAUGUAUUGCAUUGUCUAGUGGGCCCUCGGUGGCCCUUGAAAAUCUAGAGGAUCGAGUACCUUCCAUGCCCGGUCGUACUCAUAAUUGCAUCAUGUCUCCAAGGUGAACACCCUCUAGUCAAUAGAACAAUGUAGGUAAGGGAAGUCAGAAAAAUGGAUCCGUAACUUCGGGAAAAUGAUUGUAUCUGAGAGUUUUUCCUAGGGGUCUGUGUCAUUAACCUGUGGGAUGUUGGUCAUCUACCUGAGCUUCUAUUGCAGUGAGUGCGGGUAGUCAUGUGUCGAUUAGGCUACAAACGUAGAAUGUCCCCUUGCGGGGGAUUUUUCCUAGGCGACGAAUAGUUGACUCAGAACUGGUACUGACAAGGGGAAUCUGAUUGUUUAAUUAAAACAAAGCAUUUUGAUGGUCCUUGUGGAUCCUGAUGCAAUGUGAUUUCUACCUAGUGCUCUGAAUUUCAAAGUGAGAAAAUUCAACCAAGCACAGGUAAACGACGGGAGUAACUAUCACUCUCUUAAGGUAGCCAAAUGCAUCAUCAUCUAAUUAGUGAUGUGCAUGAAUGGAUUAACGAGAUUAUCACUAUCCCUAUCUACUAUCUAGAAAAACCACAUCCAAGGGAAUGGGCUUGGCAGAAUCAGUGGGGAAAGAAGAGCCUAUUGAGCUUGACUCUAGUCCGACUUUGUGAAAUGACUUGAGAGGUGU
Molecule: ribosomal RNA, 2109 nt
Filed under: Picea abies (Norway spruce)
Lineage: Eukaryota; Viridiplantae; Streptophyta; Pinopsida; Pinales; Pinaceae
Description: eukaryotic LSU rRNA
Rfam family: Eukaryotic large subunit ribosomal RNA
Source: RNAcentral